AUUCUUAGAGGAUAAAUUAUUGCAUGUUUUGUUCUCGAACUUUAAUUUAUUAAAAUUUUUGCUUAAAUUUUUUUUUUUUUUUUUUAGAGAUAGGUAGCACGCUACCCGCUUCGUUUAUUUCAUUUAGAAAUAAACUUAGCUGGAAAGGUGAAUCAAUUAGGAUUUGAACUUGGGUCUCAGGUACCAACCAUCAAAUCUUUUGCCACUUACUCUAGGGACGGUCAGUAUUUUUGCUUAAAAUUUUAAACUAUGUUAAUCAAGUCUUAUAAUCUAUUUUAGUUGAUUAAAUAAUAGUGUGUUAUUAAUAUGGAAAUAAUAUAUAUAGUAAUAUUGUGAUCGGUGAUGAUGCGUCAAUAAUUAAGAUAUCACAUCACUUUUAUCUCAACGAUGCGUUAAUAUUUAGUCAACUAAAUUGGAUUAUGAGACUUAAUUAUAAUAAUAAUUUUAAAAAUUUGAGUAAAAAAUUGUGAUAAACUAAAGUUUAAUAU
Molecule: long non-coding RNA, 488 nt
Filed under: Ananas comosus (pineapple)
Lineage: Eukaryota; Viridiplantae; Streptophyta; Magnoliopsida; Poales; Bromeliaceae
Description: long non-coding RNA (ACOM_LNC007465)
Source: RNAcentral